Molecule: ribosomal RNA, 445 nt
Filed under: uncultured bacterium
Lineage: Bacteria
Description: partial 16S ribosomal RNA
Rfam family: Bacterial small subunit ribosomal RNA
Source: RNAcentral
GUGAGGAAUAUUGGUCAAUGGGCGGGAGCCUGAACCAGCCAAGUCGCGUGAAGGAAGAAGGAUCUAUGGUUCGUAAACUUCUUUUGCAGGGGAAUAAAGUGCAGGACGUGUCCUGUUUUGUAUGUACCCUGAGAAUAAGGAUCGGCUAACUCCGUGCCAGCAGCCGCGGUAAUACGGAGGAUCCGAGCGUUAUCCGGAUUUAUUGGGUUUAAAGGGUGCGUAGGUGGGUUGAUAAGUCAGCGGUGAAAGUUUGCAGCUUAACUGUAAAAAUGCCGUUGAAACUGUCGGACUUGAGUGUAAAUGAGGUAGGCGGAAUGCGUGGUGUAGCGGUGAAAUGCAUAGAUAUCACGCAGAACUCCGAUUGCGAAGGCAGCUUACUAAGCUACAACUGACACUGAAGCACGAAAGCGUGGGGAUCAAACAGGAUUAGAAACCCCUGUAGUCC